Carassius carassius (crucian carp) is the source of this 542-nucleotide long non-coding RNA. RefSeq lists it as uncharacterized. Lineage: Eukaryota; Metazoa; Chordata; Actinopteri; Cypriniformes; Cyprinidae. The transcript has 2 exons. The record is from RefSeq and is a predicted model, not a curated record.
UUGGCUUAGCUUUGUCAUCCUGAAGGCACUACAGCACACAUGCAGGCCAGCACACGCGUGUGCUUCGACAUCUGCCCGCAGGACGUGUCAGUGGAAACUUCUCGCAUCCGACUGAUCCAGCACAGACACUGGAAAGCUUGCAGGGCUGAAGACGUUAGAUGCAAACCCUCACAGUCAUGGUGAACAGAAAAAGAUCAGCUUCAGAAACUCAGUAUUACAUCUGAGAGAGAUGAUGGCAAACGAACAAAACUCAGCAGUGACUGUAAACAUGAUUGUCCCCUUAAGCUCCAUAUUCUGGUUAAGCUUUUAUUCUGAACAGAUGUUUGCUCCACAGAUAUUGGGAUAUUCCUGUAUAGUCAACAUAAAUUGAAAACAAAAGAGUAUUCUUUUGUGUGAAUACUGGAGUUUAUGACACAGUUUUCUUUCUGGUAGAACUGCUUAUUGCAAUCAGGUUAAUGUGUUUAUGUGUAAUGUGUAAUCAGGUUAAUCAUAUAUUCUAUGAUUUAAAAUGCAGAUUAUGGUCAUUCCAGACCAAUUCAGGA